RNAcentral lists this ribosomal RNA (252 nucleotides) under uncultured bacterium. RNAcentral describes it as "partial 16S ribosomal RNA". It matches the Rfam family "Bacterial small subunit ribosomal RNA", at positions 524 to 776 of the family's 1533-position model. The record is from RNAcentral.
UACAGAGGUGGCAAGCGUUGUUCGGAAUUACUGGGCGUAAAGGGCGCGUAGGCGGCCUUCUAAGUCAGACGUGAAAUCCCCCGGCUUAACCUGGGAACUGCGUCUGAUACUGGGAGGCUUGAGUAUGGGAGAGGGAUGUAGAAUUCCAGGUGUAGCGGUGAAAUGCGUAGAUAUCUGGAAGAACACCAGUGGCGAAGGCGGUUCUCUGGGACGGUACUGACGCUGAGACGCGAAAGCGUGGGAGCGAACAGG